UGUGCCUUCGGAACCGUGAGACAGGUGCUGCAUGGCUGUCGUCAGCUCGUGUUGUGAAAUGUUGGGUUAAGUCCCGCAACGAGCGCAACCCUUAUCCUUGUUGCCAGCGGUCCGGCCGGGAACUCAAAGGAGACUGCCAGUGAUAAACUGGAGGAAGGUGGGGAUGACGUCAAGUCAUCAUGGCCCUUACGGCCUGGGCUACACACGUGCUACAAUGGUCGGUACAAAGGGUUGCCAAGCCGCGAGGUGGAGCUAAUCCCAUAAAACCGAUCGUAGUCCGGAUCGCAGUCUGCAACUCGACUGCGUGAAGUCGGAAUCGCUAGUAAUCGUGAAUCAGAAUGUCACGGUGAAUACGUUCCCGGGCCUU
This 367-nucleotide ribosomal RNA is filed under the name uncultured Stenotrophomonas sp. Its description in RNAcentral is "bacterial SSU rRNA". It matches the Rfam family "Bacterial small subunit ribosomal RNA", at positions 1013 to 1382 of the family's 1533-position model. The record is from RNAcentral. Lineage: Bacteria; Pseudomonadati; Pseudomonadota; Gammaproteobacteria; Lysobacterales; Lysobacteraceae.